UACGUAGGGUGCGAGCGUUAAUCGGAAUUACUGGGCGUAAAGCGUGCGCAGGCGGUUUUGUAAGCCAGAUGUGAAAUCCCCGGGCUUAACCUGGGAAUGGCAUUUGGGACUGCAAAGCUUGAGUGCGGCAGAGGGGACUGGAAUUCCUGGUGUAGCAGUGAAAUGCGUAGAGAUCAGGAGGAAUACCGAUGGCGAAGGCAGGUCCCUGGGCUGACACUGACGCUCAUGCACGAAAGCGUGGGGAGCAAAAAGG
This 253-nucleotide ribosomal RNA is filed under the name uncultured bacterium. RNAcentral describes it as "partial 16S ribosomal RNA". It matches the Rfam family "Bacterial small subunit ribosomal RNA", at positions 524 to 776 of the family's 1533-position model. The record is from RNAcentral.